Stylophora pistillata is the source of this 222-nucleotide long non-coding RNA. NCBI's taxonomy places the organism in Eukaryota, Metazoa, Cnidaria, Anthozoa, Scleractinia, Pocilloporidae. The record is from RefSeq and is a predicted model, not a curated record.
AGUGGAAUUAGGACUGGUAUCCGACUGGCACAAGGAGCCCAGAUAAAUAUCAAAUUAAAAUCAGAGAUGCCUGUACAAAUGGAUGGUGAACCUUGGAUGCAGCCUCCGGGUAAUGUGAUCGUGCGGCCCAUACUAACACAGGCACUGAUGCUUUCAAAGAGAAAAGUUAAAGUGAACAACCUAAGAAGACCUUCAAGCUCGCCUCGUCCUCUGUCAAGCCCC